This 460-nucleotide ribosomal RNA is filed under the name uncultured bacterium. RNAcentral's name for it is "partial 16S ribosomal RNA". It matches the Rfam family "Bacterial small subunit ribosomal RNA", at positions 338 to 795 of the family's 1533-position model. The record is from RNAcentral.
CCUACGGGUGGCAGCAGUGAGGAAUAUUGGUCAAUGGACGAGAGUCUGAACCAGCCAAGUAGCGUGAAGGAUGACUGCCCUAUGGGUUGUAAACUUCUUUUAUAUGGGAAUAAAAUGUUCCACGUGUGGGAUUUUGUAUGUACCAUAUGAAUAAGGAUCGGCUAACUCCGUGCCAGCAGCCGCGGUAAUACGGAGGAUCCGAGCGUUAUCCGGAUUUAUUGGGUUUAAAGGGAGCGUAGGUGGAUUGUUAAGUCAGUUGUGAAAGUUUGCGGCUCAACCGUAAAAUUGCAGUUGAAACUGGCAGUCUUGAGUACAGUAGAGGUGGGCGGAAUUCGUGGUGUAGCGGUGAAAUGCUUAGAGAUCACGAAGAACUCCGAUUGCGAAGGCAGUUCACUGGACUGCAACUGACACUGAGGCGCGAAAGUGUGGGUAUCAAACAGGAUUAGAUACCCCAGUAGUC